Molecule: long non-coding RNA, 266 nt
Organism: Tympanuchus pallidicinctus (lesser prairie-chicken)
Lineage: Eukaryota; Metazoa; Chordata; Aves; Galliformes; Phasianidae
Exons: 3
Source: RefSeq, a predicted model, not a curated record
AAGCCUGGAUUCUGCAGAGAGCUGCAAUCUCUCUUACAGAAAGUUAUAGGCUACAACUAAAGACAUUUUGUGGCUUGAGAUGAGAAAGCUAUAAAUUUUGCUGCAUCUCAUCGUUUCUUUAAAGAUUUCUCUGCAUACACUAUCCACAAACCUCAGCUAAGAAGCAGUCUUUCAGGUUUCACACCAUGCUGCCCUGAAUACCCCUUGGUACCACAUCACCUUUGAAUGUGAAGGAGAGUUCCAACUUCUCAUCCUUCAUCAUCAGG